Molecule: ribosomal RNA, 267 nt
Filed under: uncultured bacterium
Lineage: Bacteria
Description: partial small subunit ribosomal RNA
Rfam family: Bacterial small subunit ribosomal RNA
Source: RNAcentral
AGAACGAACGCUGGCGGCGGGGUUUAGGCAUGCAAGUCGAGCGAGAAAGCCGCAAGGCAAGUACAGCGGCGUAAGGGUGAGUAAUGGUUAGUCAACGUACCGAGCAGACGCGAAUAAUUUCCCGAAAGGGGCUGUAAUGCGCGAUGAGACCACGCCUUCCACGGGAGGAGCGGUCAAAGGUCGGGGAUCCUUCGGGACCUGGCGCUGUUUGAGCGGACUAACUCUGAUUAGCUAGUUGGCGGGUAACGGCCCACCAAGGCGAUGAUC